ACCCCUUUAGUAUAUAUAAUAUACUUGACUUCCAAUCAAGUGAUCCUUUUAGGAAGAGGUA
RNAcentral lists this transfer RNA (61 nucleotides) under Picromerus griseus. RNAcentral's name for it is "tRNA-Gly". The record is from RNAcentral. Lineage: Eukaryota; Metazoa; Arthropoda; Insecta; Hemiptera; Pentatomidae.